CCCUUAGAUGUUCUGGGCCGCACGCGUGCUACACUGAUGCAUUCAACGAGUCUAAAACCUGGUCUGAUAGGGCUGGGUAAUCUUUUGAAAGUGCAUCGUGAUUGGGAUAGAUGAUUGCAAUUCUUCAUCUUCAACGAGGAAUGCCUAGUAAACGCAAGUCAUCAGCUUGCAUUGAUUACGUCCCUGCCCUUUGUACACACCGCCCGUCGCUCCUACCGAUUGAAUGAUCCGAUGAAUACCAUGGAUUGAGAGUACGAAUAGGUUCGCGUAUUUCUGCUGCUCGAGAAGUGGAGUAAAUCUUAUCAUUUAGAGGAAGGAGAAGUCGUAACA
RNAcentral lists this ribosomal RNA (330 nucleotides) under uncultured eukaryote. RNAcentral describes it as "partial 18S ribosomal RNA". It matches the Rfam family "Eukaryotic small subunit ribosomal RNA", at positions 1470 to 1796 of the family's 1831-position model. The record is from RNAcentral.